Molecule: non-coding RNA, 516 nt
Organism: Prunus avium (sweet cherry)
Lineage: Eukaryota; Viridiplantae; Streptophyta; Magnoliopsida; Rosales; Rosaceae
Source: RefSeq, a predicted model, not a curated record
CCAUAUCGUAUUUUCCAAUGCUUGGUGGAUUGGGACACAAGCUGAGAACCCUGAAGAAGCCCAACUUGAUUUCCCUAAGGAACUUACUGAGGGACAACACGCAGAAUAGGACUUUAAAGGUGGUGCAGGUUCAACAUCUGCAAACAAGCAAAGUGAUCAUAAAAAUGAAACUACAAAAGUAGAAGAACAUUCCCCAAAUAUGUAAACUAUUAGACGAUUAUAUCCAUGAUAUGUUGUGCUACCUUUAGUUAGAUUAUCAUAGAUAAUUAACCAUUUUGAUAUAUUUUCUUUUUGCUGAAGAAUAAUAAAAGAAUCGAGAGUGCUUGUUGAUCGUCCAGAAGGCACACAUUUUCCUGUGAUGUGUCCACACAUGCUUCAGUGAACUCUCGUUUUGUCACCGAUUAAUUGUAGAUGAUGCACCAUGCUUACCUUUCCAUUUAUCUCUGACAUUUUUGUUGGUACAGUUUUGGAUUCUUUUGGAAGCGAUACUUACUUAAGCGAAGGAGAAGAUGAAAA